This 253-nucleotide ribosomal RNA is filed under the name uncultured bacterium. Its description in RNAcentral is "partial 16S ribosomal RNA". It matches the Rfam family "Bacterial small subunit ribosomal RNA", at positions 524 to 776 of the family's 1533-position model. The record is from RNAcentral.
GGCGAAGGGGGCUAGCGUUGUUCGGAAUUACUGGGCGUAAAGCGAGUGUAGGUGGUUGUCCAAGUUGGAUGUGAAAGCCUUGAGCUCAACUCAAGAAAUGCAUUCAGGACUGGGCGGCUAGAGGACCGGAGAGGAUAGUGGAAUUCCCAGUGUAGUGGUGAAAUACGUAGAGAUUGGGAAGAACACCAGUGGCGAAGGCGGCUAUCUGGACGGUUUCUGACACUAAGACUCGAAAGCGUGGGGAGCAAACAGG